Molecule: ribosomal RNA, 362 nt
Filed under: uncultured organism
Description: bacterial SSU rRNA
Rfam family: Bacterial small subunit ribosomal RNA
Source: RNAcentral
UGCCUAACACAUGCAAGUCGAGCGCCUGUAGCAAUACAGGAGCGGCGCACGGGUGAGUAACGCGUGGGAACCUGCCCUUAGGUUCGGAACAACCGCGGGAAACUGCGGCUGAUACCGGAUAAUGUCUUCGGACCAAAGAUUUAUCGCCUUUGGAGGGGCCCGCGUCGGAUUAGGUAGUUGGUGAGGUAACGGCUCACCAAGCCUGCGAUCCGUAGCUGGUCUGAGAGGAUGACCAGCCACACUGGGACUGAGACACGGCCCAGACUCCUACGGGAGGCAGCAGUGGGGAGUAUUGGACAGUGGGGGCAACCCUGAUCCAGCAAUGCCGCGUGGGUAAUGUGAGCCUUCGGGUUGUAAAGCCC